AUGUCCCACGCGUGCACUCCGUGUCUGAGCGCGCCGUCCAUACCCAGCUGACGGCUGCUAGGGACGUUUUGUUAGCC
This 77-nucleotide small RNA is filed under the name Xanthomonas dyei pv. eucalypti. RNAcentral's name for it is "sX9 sRNA". It matches the Rfam family "Xanthomonas sRNA sX9". The record is from RNAcentral. RNAcentral also lists the same sequence under 1 other name. Lineage: Bacteria; Pseudomonadati; Pseudomonadota; Gammaproteobacteria; Lysobacterales; Lysobacteraceae.